GGAGAAGCUCGGCGCGGCGUGGAGGCGGGUUCGAGGAGCUGCGCCUGCGCAGGACGUACUGCUUUGAAGGAGGGCGGGGGAGCGUUAACCUCCGCGCCUGCGCGCUGGGAGUCGUUUCCCGAGGUAGGAGCAAGGUGGCUUCGCGGCAUCCGGAAAAGGUUCUUCUCUCCCCAUUUUUCUACUAGCAAACAAGGAACUUAAAUUUUAUAACGGAUUUUUGCCGAUAGAGCUAUCUGGGUUUGGAAAAGCGGUUUGACCAGUUGACUCCAGGAAAGGUAUGCGUGCAUUGAGGACAUUCUUCGCGGAGGUGGAGGGGUGUCGGUGGACGGUUUGAAGAUCCUGAAGCCCUGAAAUUCUUCCCCAAGUUUUGGAGGAGCUACUGUUGUUUUGGUGUAACUCUGGUAAAUAAAUUGGUACCUGAUGAUCAAUCUGCA
This is a long non-coding RNA of Felis catus (domestic cat), 434 nucleotides long. RefSeq lists it as uncharacterized. The transcript has 2 exons. The record is from RefSeq and is a predicted model, not a curated record. Lineage: Eukaryota; Metazoa; Chordata; Mammalia; Carnivora; Felidae.